UCCCUGGUGGCUCAGACUUUAAAAGCGUCUGCCUGCAAUGCAGGAGACCCAGGUUCGGUCCCUGGCUUGGGAC
This 73-nucleotide transfer RNA is filed under the name Bos taurus (domestic cattle). It matches the Rfam family "tRNA". From Rfam's summary of the family: Transfer RNA (tRNA) molecules are approximately 80 nucleotides in length. The record is from Rfam by way of RNAcentral. RNAcentral also lists the same sequence under 1 other name. Lineage: Eukaryota; Metazoa; Chordata; Mammalia; Artiodactyla; Bovidae.